ACCGCUCUGGUUGACUAGUGGUUAGACCGUCCGCCUCGGGUGCGGGAGGUCGCAGCUUCGAACCCUGGCCGAGUCAUA
Molecule: non-coding RNA, 78 nt
Organism: Potamilus streckersoni
Lineage: Eukaryota; Metazoa; Mollusca; Bivalvia; Unionida; Unionidae
Source: the annotation of a GenBank genome assembly